This 305-nucleotide long non-coding RNA is filed under the name Androctonus crassicauda. Lineage: Eukaryota; Metazoa; Arthropoda; Arachnida; Scorpiones; Buthidae. The record is from RNAcentral.
ACUUAUAAAAUAUCCUAUAAAUAGAUAAAGAAAAUGAAAGGAAAGGAUUUUUGUACGUUGGUAGUGCGAUUCGAGCCCGGGCCGGGCUGCCGUGGCAAGGCGCGUAUCCGCAAUGCUGCGACAACUCGUUUGGAACGGCGAUUCCAAACUGUAGUUGAGCAUUCGCCUAAAACUUUGACCCGCAAUGUCUCAAAGGUGGUUGACCAUCUGCCGGCAAGGGGGGUAUCACUGUAUUCAGGAGGACAUGCUGUAUAACCCUAUUAAGUUUCAUCAGAAUUGGUGGAUUCCACUUGGGGGACCUCUCC